Molecule: ribosomal RNA, 402 nt
Filed under: uncultured bacterium
Lineage: Bacteria
Description: bacterial SSU rRNA
Rfam family: Bacterial small subunit ribosomal RNA
Source: RNAcentral
UGGGGAAUAUUGGACAAUGGGCGAAAGCCUGAUCCAGCCAUGCCGCGUGAGUGAUGAAGGCCCUAGGGUUGUAAAGCUCUUUUGUGCGGGAAGAUAAUGACGGUACCGCAAGAAUAAGCCCCGGCUAACUUCGUGCCAGCAGCCGCGGUAAUACGAAGGGGGCUAGCGUUGCUCGGAAUCACUGGGCGUAAAGGGUGCGUAGGCGGGGUUCUAAGUCAGAGGUGAAAGCCUGGGGCUCAACUCCAGAACUGCCUUUGAUACUGGAAGUCUUGAGUUCGGGAGAGGUGAGUGGAUCUGGGAGUGUAGAGGUGAAGUUCGUAGAUAUUCGCAAGAACACCGGUGGCGAAGGCGGCUCACUGGCCCGAUACUGACGCUGAGGCACGAAAGCGUGGGGAGCAAACA